AUGGCCGUCGACGCCAUCACGGCCAACGUGCUCCCCGCGCCGUACGAAUUUGUCUUGAAGCAUCCUCGUCGUCGUCUCCUUCGUCCCCGACCAUUGAAUCAAGCCGGGAGGGCCUGUACGCUCGCCAUCAAGCUCGAGUCAUUCGCGUACAUCGCCGGCCGCCGUCGCCGAUUGCCUCAUCUCCGGUCCACCUCAGGCCUCCUCGUCACUUCCGUUGGAACCGUGACCCCGAGACUACCGGUGACCCCCAGUUCGACUACGGAGUUGACGACCCCUCCUUCCUGCCAGAGCAACCAGAUGCUGGAGUCCAGGAGCUAG
RNAcentral lists this ribosomal RNA (318 nucleotides) under Triticum aestivum (bread wheat). Its description in RNAcentral is "partial small subunit ribosomal RNA". Lineage: Eukaryota; Viridiplantae; Streptophyta; Magnoliopsida; Poales; Poaceae. The record is from RNAcentral.